GAGCCGGUAGCUCAGCUGGUAGAGCAACGGACUUUUAAUCCGUAGGUCCUGGGUUCGAGCCCCAGCCGGCUCA
RNAcentral lists this transfer RNA (73 nucleotides) under Gemmatimonadota bacterium. Its description in RNAcentral is "Gemmatimonadetes bacterium tRNA-Lys". It matches the Rfam family "tRNA". Rfam says of the family: Transfer RNA (tRNA) molecules are approximately 80 nucleotides in length. The record is from RNAcentral. RNAcentral also lists the same sequence under 1 other name. Lineage: Bacteria; Pseudomonadati; Gemmatimonadota.